CCAGUACCAGAUCACAUGGCCAAGCUUAAAACACAGAAUCAUACUCUGUGAUUUCAGACCUGAAACUUCUUUUCUUCUUGUAACAACAUGUUAUGAAGAUCAGUUAUGGUACUCAAGAAAUACUUGUUGACUGACUGAAUGAAAUGAACAUCAGGCCUACCCAGGUCCCUUGUAUGAACUGGCACCAUACUCACCAUGCUUAAAAUACAUAGACUUUAAAUGCA
Molecule: long non-coding RNA, 224 nt
Organism: Herpailurus yagouaroundi (jaguarundi)
Lineage: Eukaryota; Metazoa; Chordata; Mammalia; Carnivora; Felidae
Exons: 2
Source: RefSeq, a predicted model, not a curated record